Molecule: ribosomal RNA, 1523 nt
Filed under: uncultured bacterium
Lineage: Bacteria
Description: bacterial SSU rRNA
Rfam family: Bacterial small subunit ribosomal RNA
Source: RNAcentral
GUCGAACGAAGCUCGAUUCUUUGAGAUUUCGGUCAAAAGAAAAGAUGACUUAGUGGCGGACGGGUGAGUAAUGCGUGAGCAACCUGCCUCGGAGAGGGGGACAACAGCUGGAAACGGCUGCUAAUACCGCAUAAUGUAUUUGGAGGGCAUCCUCUGAAUACCAAAGAUUUAUCGCUCUGAGAUGGGCUCACGUCUCGAUUAGUUACGUUGGUCGAAGGUUAAACCGGGGCUUCCACCCAAAGGACUUGGCGGAAUUCCAAGUUAAGCCCCCGGGGAACCUUUGGGAAGGAACGGGGUUUUUUGAAAACCGGGGGCCACAACCACAACUUUUUGGGGGGGAACCUUUGGAAGAAUUACACCUGAGAUACGGCCCAGGACUCCUUACGCGGGAAGGCAAGCCAGUGGGGAAUAUUGGGCAAUGGGCGCAAGCCUGACCCAGACAACGCCGCGUGAACGGCAAGAAGGCUUUCGGGUUGUAAACUUCUUUUAUGAGGGACGAAGAAAUGUGACGGUACCUCAUGAAUAAGCCACCGGGCUAAACUUACGGUGCCAGCAGCCGCCGGUAAUACGUAGGUGGCGAGCGUUAUCCGGAUUUACUGGGUGUMAAGGGCGCGUAGGCGGGGAAGCAAGUCAGAUGUGAAAUCCAUGGGCUCAACCCAUGAAACUGCAAUUUUGAAACUGUUUACUACUUGAGUGCCCGGAGAGGUAGACGGAAUUCCUAGUGUAGCGGUGAAAUGCGUAGAUAUUAGGAGGAACACCAGUGGCGAAGGCGGUCUACUGGACGGUAACUGACGCUGAGGCGCGAAAGCGUGGGGAGCAAACAGGAUUAGAUACCCUGGUAGUCCACGCUGUAAACGAUGAAUACUAGGUGUGGGGGGACUGACCCCUUCCGUGCCGCAGUUAACACAAUAAGUAUUCCACCUGGGGAGUACGACCGCAAGGUUGAAACUCAAAGGAAUUGACGGGGGCCCGCACAAGCAGUGGAUUAUGUGGUUUAAUUCGAAGCAACGCGAAGUAACCUUACCAGGGCUUGACAUCCAACUAAUCGAAGUAGAGAUACAUUAGGUGCCCUUCGGGGAAAGUUGAGACAGGUGGUGCAUGGUUGUCGUCAGCUCGUGUCGUGAGAUGUUGGGUUAAGUCCCGCAACGAGCGCAACCCUUGUUGCUAGUUGCUACGCAAGAGCACUCUAGCGAGACUGCCGUUGACAAAACGGAGGAAGGUGGGGACGACGUCAAAUCAUCAUGCCCCUUAUGUCCUGGGCUACACACGUAAUACAAUGGCGUUUAACAGAGGGAGGCAAAACCGCGAGGUGGAGCAAAUCCCCAAAAAACGUCUCAGUUCGGAUUGCAGGCUGCAACUCGCCUGCAUGAAGUCGGAAUUGCUAGUAAUCGCGGAUCAGCAUGCCGCGGUGAAUGCGUUCCCGGGCCUUGUACACACCGCCCGUCACACCAUGAGAGUCGGGAACACCCGAAGUCCGUAGCUAACAGCAAUGAGAGCGCGGCGCGAAGUGGUUCGAUAAUUGG